GUGGCGGUCGGACCGGUGGAGGUCGCCGCCUACGGCGCGGCCAACUUUUCGCGGUUCUGCUCCGGGACGUCCCA
This 74-nucleotide transfer RNA is filed under the name Botrimarina colliarenosi. RNAcentral's name for it is "Planctomycetes bacterium Pla108 tRNA-Arg". Lineage: Bacteria; Pseudomonadati; Planctomycetota; Planctomycetia; Pirellulales; Lacipirellulaceae. The record is from RNAcentral.